This 849-nucleotide long non-coding RNA is filed under the name Fukomys damarensis (Damara mole-rat). RNAcentral describes it as "lncRNA (ENSFDAG00000023920.1)". The record is from RNAcentral. Lineage: Eukaryota; Metazoa; Chordata; Mammalia; Rodentia; Bathyergidae.
GUUUGCCUUAGUAGUACUGUGUCUCUGGGACUUGGCACUUUUUUCCCCCUAUGUGAUAAUGCUUUAAUUCAUCCCUUAUCAUCUCUCUAGACUUUUGGGAAAAAAGAGUCCUGAUUAGUCCAUAACUGUACUUUCUCCACUCCUCCUCUUUAUUUUCAAAACCAAAUCUGAAUCACUGCCAUACUUAAAAAUCUGUUUUGAUUUCAUGUUGCCAAAGUGCAGAUGCCUGGGAUGUCCUUCAAGGCCCUUCACAGUCUUGAGUCUGGACCCAGCUGCCGGUGCUUUAUCCAAGGCUGAAGCACGGAUGUGGUCCUGCCCCAGCCUUGACAGUGCAGCCAAGGACAACAAUCCAGGAACUGUGAUGCAACCAGACAGGAGCCCCUCCAGUCUGGACCAUUCACCCUGAUCUCCUGACCCCUCUUCCAGCCUGUGUGGGUGUGAGAGCAACUUAGCCCUGCUUCAAGUAGCGGCCCAGGCCUUCCCUAGGCAGUCAAAUUCUCCAGAGGAGAUAAAAUCUCUGACAGCUUUUCAUCUCCUGCUCCCUCAGAGUACCUUAUUACAUAGAUAAGAACCCUCUGGGGACUGAGUGAGGCCCUGAAUUGGUCUGCGCUAAGGUCCCAAAGAGUGGGGUGGGGCAAACUUGAAGGGCUUGUGAGGUGCUAGUUAGAAAUUUGAGCUUCCCAUUGCCCACAGUUAGGCUCUGUGGAAGGUUUAAAUUAAAGCAGGGAAAAAAGAAUUUCAUGGGUUUUGAAAGGUUCUCAGAAGCAUGUUAACUGGGGGCACCUGCUGGCCAGGUGAACUAAUGCGGCCUCCGUCAGGCUGACCCCUGAGACAAGGGAAGAGAUCUGG